Pseudopipra pipra is the source of this 15162-nucleotide long non-coding RNA. RefSeq lists it as uncharacterized. Lineage: Eukaryota; Metazoa; Chordata; Aves; Passeriformes; Pipridae. The record is from RefSeq and is a predicted model, not a curated record. The transcript is spliced from 2 exons.
CUUAACGGCUGAGCUGAAGUCGAUUUAAUUUGCAAUUUGUUAUGAAAUGGUAGGUAUUGUUUUACCUUCCUUCAUCCCCAGGCCGGGGGAACGGGUACAGUGAGUUCCAGAGAUAAAUGGUGAGCCAAAUAAUUACAGCCUGGCUCCUAGGAAUGGUUUGAGGAUUAAUGGCUGUUUGUACAGCACUUCAAGAUGCUUAGCUGAAAUGUGCUUUGAACUCUGGGGCAUUUCAGGCUGCAGGUGAUGGGUACCCCCAGGGUCUGGCAGAGGUCAACACUCAGAGGAUAUCAGAUCUUUUGAAGCAGACAUGCAGCUCCAGGAAUGUGGAUGGCCAGACUCAUGGGGGAGGUUUAUUUUAGACCUGAGAAAUGCUCCUAUGUAGAAUGGGAAGGUGAUUUGGAGAGCCUGUCCUUUCAGGCUCACUGCUUUUAAGCAGAUGUGCCUGUUUGAAAGAGAGACCCAAGGAAUAAUACAUCCCGUGAAUGUUUCUCUAGCCAUCUUUCUGGUCUGUCUGUUGAUCAGCAGUGUCCCAGCUGGUAAGAAGUCCGUGCUCAGCUGUCACAGAUGUGAGAAGAAAACAGCUUGAGCUGCCUUCUGAUGCCAACCAGAGUUUCCUCAGACUUUUCUCCUGAGGACCCCAUUUGCAUUAAGCCAGAGCACCGCAUUUCAGGUGUUUUGGGGCUAAUAUGCCAUGAACGACCUCAGCUUCUCUGGGCUGGGACAUUUGCUAUCAUUAUCAUGAGUGAGGAAACUUUUCUGUCGGGUGCCUGCAAAGUGUUGGAGUCCCAGCCUGGCUUUUACAGCUCUAGAAGGAAGUGCCGAAUGCAUUGUUUUCUAAUCUUGCUGCAGAGAUUUUUAGAGGGGAGGCUGUGCUCUGGGAGGCAGUGUAAGAUACAGAAGGAUCCAACCAGCUUUCACUUGUCUGACUACACAAACAGCCGUCAAGGGCCAGGCACUUGGGGAAAGUUCUCCCUGUUCCAUGGGAGAAGCAUGUGCAUUUGUAAUGAUCCUUGAGUGCAGCAGCCACGAAUGGUGCAGGAGGGAAGAAUCUCUCUCUGGGUCACAGGAGUCCCUUGGAGUGGUGUGGGGAGCAGUUCAAGGCUCCCAGCAUUGUCCAGAGCAGCAGCUGGUGGUGCUGUGUGACAAGGCUCUCCUGACACUGAGGUACAGGGACUGUCAGGGUACUAUGUUAGCAACUGCAGUGGCCAUGGGAAAAUGGAGGACAUGUUAUGCUGAGGGGUCUUAACUGAACAGAUACAGCGAGUCUAUCCCAAAUCCUUUGCUAGUCAUACCAAAUACUUUGCUACUGUGGGGGAAGGGAGUGCAGCAUAUCUCCUCUCUGCUGUUCAAGGUUUCAGAACAUCCAGCACCUCUACAGAACAUCCUCUGGUCUUUUGUAGUCUUCAUGUAAAAGGCAUGACCUAAUCUUCUGUCUGCUCAGUUCUCAGCCACACAGAAGGCUCUUCAUCUGGUAGGAAUGAAUUCCUGGUGCUGAAUGUCCCCUCCUUAGUAUUUUCAACCUCCCUUUAAGGUUAGGAGAUGACACUGAUCCAUGCUAGUUCAUAUAUUGCUGAAUCAGUCCUCUUUGCAGUAUGUCCAAUAUUUUCUUGCUAAAAAGUCUUUUAAAUGGCUGCUGAUAGUCAGGGACCUCAGUGUCAAUAUUGUCCAUCUAGCUGGUGAGAAUACAUUAGGAAACAGACCUGUCAUCUGAUCUUUGACAACCCUUUUUUUUGAAGCUUUGAGUCUUGGUUAUGGUUAAUGCAGAUAAAAGUGUCCAUUCCCACCAUCCCUGUCUCUGGAGAGCAGCACACUGAAGAGGAAUGAAGGGCCAUUGGGAAUACUAAGCAUCAUUUUAUUAUGACCUUUACAGAGACAGUGGGAGAAUGGAGAAGGAACACAAGCAAGACAAUAUAAACCCACAUGGACAGUGCUUAAGGUGGAGAGUACAAACCCAAAGAGACUUCCAGAGACAAACAGAUGGGAGAAGAGGAAGAAAGAUGGAAACAGGAGACUGAGCAAGACAGGCAAGGAACGGCAGAGCCAUCUUCUUCCAGUUUAUCCAGGGAGUGGCAAGAGCAGACCUGGGGCUCUCCAUCCAUGAAAAAACCCAGCCUUCUGCUCACCAUUCUCCUAUUUUCCUGAAAUCUCUGCUUUUGCUCCUCCAGGCAACCAUUAAUCUAAUAUUAAGCCCCUUAACCUCUCUAAUUGUUCUCUUUCAGUGUCAGCUGGUUUCCUAUUAACCUUUCAAUCUCUCAGUAAUGCAGUUACUUCUGACUCCAGCCAGACCCGGCUCUAAAGCUUUACCUCCGGCAGUGAAUUUUCCAAGCUUUCACUUUUUUUUCUCUUUCUUUUCGGUAAUGAUUAUUACUGCUGUUAAGCAGCCAGUUUGAACCAGCCUCUAAGUGCACAGGGCUGAACCAGUUGGAGUCUAUAAAUAGCCCUUCGCUAACCUUGCGCCUUAUUUCAUUAAGUUGAUUGGCUUCCCUCUCUCCACUUCAUUGCAUCUCUAUCUCUCUCUCCCCUCUCCAUUAUUGAUGCUGGUUCUUUUGUUGCUAUCUGAGACACCUGCUUGUUGAUAGCAGGGAAGAUCAGGCCUAGGUUUUUCCCUCCUGAACAAAAUAGUGUUGUUGCUGGGGAAGCAUCUCUAGAGUUUCAUAACAGGGGGAAAGCAGAGGGUGAGGCUGGUCUGAGACAGCAAGUAGGAAAACUUCCACACCAUGCAAUAGGAAAUUGCGUCGCUGAGCACCAGUCACAGGAACAGAGUUUGCCACCCGUAGUCUGGGUUUCUCCUGUGACACUUACUGAGGUUAUACUUGAAUGCAGUCUCUUGUGCAAACCUCGUGGUGCUAUAUCAAAGCCAAGGCAUCUGUCCAAGGACAAAUGGCACUGCUGUUCAAAUCAAGCAGACAUACAGUACCCGCAAUGCAACGUGAACUGUCUGCUGUAUCUGAGACCAGUCUUCUUUGACAUCACUAAACAAUAUACUACUUCUGCUUGACCCUGCAACUUAGUAGAGCAUAGUUUGCUUCACUGACCAUCACCGUGCCUCAGCUCAACAGCAUUUUCAUGCUGUGUCUCUUCUAAUUUACCCGCUUCUUUUAGUGCUAAUGCAGUUUUUGAGCUCUGCUCAACCCUGCUGCCUCUCUGCCUCUCCCCAGGGCCUGCGCACUGGUCCUUUUUUUUUUUUUUCCAAAAUACAAUGAAUGUUUGCAGCAAAGACUGAGUUGAGCAGUUGCAUAAAUUGACCUGAAAUCUGUGAGGUCAGUGUAAAUCACAAACCAGAGCUCAACAUCACAAGGCUGUAUCUGAGUGGCACUUGCAAACUGCUCAUGUGCAGCAGUGUAGUGGGGCAGAGCAUCUGCCAGUGCCCACAAGUACUGGGGUGCUAUUGCAGUAACAUAACAGGAUUUAUGGUGGAUUCAGCAACAGCAGUGGCUUCUACAGGUAGAGAAACACCAUCUUAUUGUGGAAGAGCUGGGAUUAGGGAUCCAGUCAUGCCUCUAUUUUGCUCCCUGAGGAGGGGCAAGUUCUUUCCCCAUAAAGCCUUAUUUUUCACCAAAGAGAGAGAUUUAGAGGAAACUUUUCCAAUAUGUGCUUAGGCUGACGUUUAUAGCCCUUUGCUUCAGCUCAAAAGGAUUUGUGUGUCUAAAAGCUCUUCUGUUUUUUUUCUAGCCGUAUCAUUUGUCUAACACCAGCUGUUACCUUUCCCUGAGAGUCCUGCCUCAAAGUCAACAGCAACUUACCAAAAUAAUAGGAGCUAUUCUCUUCUGCUCUCUGUACAGCUCUGUGUGCCCCUACUUGCUCACUUACUGCUAUUCCUUGUUGUUGGAAGGGCAGAUUCUGGCACCAACAAGCCUUUGUCUUAUUUUCUGGCAAACAACCUCAGUCUGCAACAAUGCAGGAAAGACAAACAGUGAAGAAAUGAGAGCUGGUAAAGCUGGGGUUAGAGGAGAAGGUUAACUUCUGGUGGCUUCUUUUUUUCACCGCUGAGUUUGACGUGAGAAAGGUUUUGUAUAGGCACUGCAUGUGUGGAAAGCACACUCCCUCCACCCCCUCGAGGGCAGGUGGCAGCUGGCAUUCACAACCUGUUUAAUAAUACAGGUUCUCCAGAAUGGCUGCGUGCUCAUUUUCCGUCGCUCACAGCCUCCUUGCCUUCAUGCUUUUUCUUUUAAAUCCUUGGGCCUCGCCUUUGCUCCCCAGGCACCCAGGUCUCAGCAGGACAAAGGAGCCUCCCUGGGUGCUGCAGUGGGACCCCAGGGGUCACUGGGCAGUGCCUCCCUCCUGCCUGCCCCUCAGCCCUCCCAGUGACCACUUUGGUUGCCGUGAGUUUUGUGUGGAGCUCAGGAAACUUCACGUUGUGGCUCUGGGUGCCUCAGGGCGAGUGGGUUGGUGGCUGAGCCAGACUCUGGCCUUGCUUAUGAAGGCUGGAAUCCAGCCCAGGAUAUCGCCCAUCAUUUGUGGUAGGAAGAGGAGGUCCAAGGACUCUCUGUCCCUGCUGAACGGGGACAAAGCUCCUGAGGCCAGUCAGCACCCUGCUAACAGAGCCCCAGCAGAACGAGGGGUGCAACUUGGCCAUAGAGGAGAACUCAGGGUCUGAGUCAAGCUGAGUACUACUCCCACACACGCCACUCACAUACUGUCACGGUUUGUUGGCUGCUCAGAGCCCCUUCAAGGGAGGAUUCCACGCUGCCUCUGGGAAAGUCAAAGCCCAUGGAAAGCCCAUUCGACUCACUGAUGAGCAUGCUGCCCUUCCGCAGUGGGCACUGUGUUGUCCCUAGCUGCUGGGAGACGGGAGCAGGACUGACCUGUGCCAGCAAAGCCUGGCAGAAUGGUGGCAUGUGGUUGCAGAGUGACAUGGUCUGCCUGCUAACAAUGCUGCCUUUCAGUGAAGGUGAUCCAGAAUGCUGUGGAGCAGAACAUGUACUCAGAGGGGAAGCUGAUGGGAGAUGCAAAUUCCAUUGCAAAACAACUCCUGCUUUUUUGAUCUGUAUUAUGACAGGUGAAUGGUAUCAGACCCUGUGUUAGCCACAUCCCAGUUGCCCAUUUUCCCUGGCUUCUAUGGUCAGUCCCAUCUAUUCCACUUCCCUUGGGAAGCUUCCUAAAUAUUUAUCCCAGUGAUCAAUCAUAUGACCCUACUGUAGCAAUGUGAUACAGCUUUAGUUGUGCUAAUCAGCUUAGCUUGGGCCCCUGACCCCUGUCAUCUUAUUUUAGGAGAAGACUUUACACAGUGCCUGGUAAGGGCUGUUCAGUCCAGAGGAUUUAAAUCCAAAGUGAGAAAUAGCAACACAGACUUUUGCUUUUUUAUUUUGCAGCCAGAACUCAGUUUACCAUUAUUCUGAUUUGUCCUUUCUCUAGGAGGAGUUGAGCUUUGAAUAACAGGCAAAAGUUUCAAUUGCAUGGUAAAAUAUUUGACUCUUUUGACUCUUAACAAAAAACCACCCUAGAUAGUAAAUGAUGAGUGCUUUGGCUGAAGAACUUAAGAGAUGUUCAGUCAUCCAAAUGGACUCGGACACCGAAUCACUUCUCUCCUUUCUCCUCUGAGCUCUAAAUGAGGUCCUUUCAAGCAAAAUGGGCUGUAGAGGAAAGAAUAGUGUCUACUGCAGGAGACUGGAAACAUUUGUCUUGAACCUCUGGGGGUUUUGUGGGGGAGAUAUCAGAGGAAGUUGGAUCUAAAGAGACAUGUAUUCUUGGAGUGUUUUUUUCUCCACAGAGAGACAUCUCUACUCCAAAGCACCAGGAAAAGUCAGAGAUGAAUGAGCAGCCACGAGCAGCCAAGACCCCAGCUCAUCAGCUGGUCAGCCACUCCUACUCAUGGUAGAAACUAUGCUGAUACCUGAGUCUCUUUCCAAUGCUCAGGGAGUGCAGUGCAAGCCCUAUGGACAUUAUAUGAAAAUAUGAACUAUAUCAUGCCUGGAGGAACUUGCUUUAUUAUAGACAUGAGUACUAACAACAUCACUCCAUAAUCUCUGAAGAGAACAGACUGGCUUUGUAAGGGAGAGACAGAUGAAGGCAAAUUAACCAUACUGAGGGCAAAUUAACUGUACUGGGGUAAAAGAACAACUGGAAAUAUGUUGUUGUGUAAGAGGAGGGUCUGACAGAAACUGAUCACUUUCUAAAGCCUGGGAGCUACUAUCAGUGGUGAAUUCUGUCAUCAGCCCUGCCAGUGAACGCCCAGUGGGCUGCCAGGGCAGGGAACAUCUCCAGACCUGCCUGAGGACUUGCCCAGCCUAGUUGCUGCAGCAGCCUCAUCUCCUGAGUUUCUGAAGCACGAUCUGGAUGCAACAGGAAGAUUUUCAAACUCUGUUUGCCACAUCUCCAACCCUUCCCCCUCUCUGUGAAGCAUGUCUUUGAGUCAGUUAACUAUCCUGCUUUCUCAGCAGAUGAAAAGAUCCUCGUUUUUAGCAUCCCAGGGAAGAUAUGGCAACUGCCCAGGUGUAGUAGCAGACUUUGAACAUCCUCAAGGUUUUGAACUUGUGUUGUCCUCUUGACACCCAUGACUUGAAUAUAGUCUGGAACUGAUUAACUUGGUUCCUUCAAUCUCUGGAAGGGAAUGUUCUUUCUGCAGUUAAAUAUUUACUCAUCACUGCGCAUAGACCAGGCAUUACAGAAGCCUGGGCAGCAUUUGCAUUUUCUUCCCAUCAAUUGAAAUUAAAAGGAUCAUCCUCUAGUAUUUUAGUGCUGCCACUUCCAUCCUUGGUGGUAGUCCAGUCAUGCCCUGUUCAACUUCGCUAUCCUGUUAGCUUCAGCAACAUUCCUAAACCAUGAGAUUUGUAGCCCACACCACGGGGAGCCCACGUUGCACAUCCAACAGAUUCUUCAGUUCCAAAGGACAUGGCAUAAAUCCCAUUUCUGAAAAUAAUGUGUCUCUAGCACUUACAAAUGCCUUUGCAUGGCAUUGCUUUCUGAGAGGUCGAGCUCCUCCCUCCCCAGUCUUCCACUGGCAGAAGGAGUUUUAUGGUAAAAGUAAUUUCUAUCUUAGGUAGCACUGCAGUGAAAUGGUUUAAAUGAGAAAAUCUGAAACACUGAUAGGAGCUUUUAGAAAUACUGGGAUAUGCCUAUCUUCCCACCAGUUCCUACCUGCUGUAAAUACCUCUGACAUGCCAAUAUACCCAACAGCUACAUAUCACCCCUCUCCACUGCUGCUCAGUGUCAGACUUCUCCAUCCUGACCAUGGCAGGCCAGAGAGAACUGUUUGCCAGCCCCAGCCCCUGGGACACCAGCAGGUUGGCAUUGCUGGAUCUGUGGCGGGGAGUGAAGAGAAGCCAGGAGGUGUUUUGGCUCCGUUCCAGGCUGAGUAAACACAACAGCUUUUUCCUGGGAAUAGGUGUAGUCCCUGACUAGGGUAUUGAUGGCAGUGAUGUCCCUGUUGCUCCUCCUGGCAGAAGGAGUCUCCUGCUUCCUCUGGCUCAGGCAGGGGCUCCUUUUCUUUUUCUCUUCAUCCCCAUGGCACCCUGCUAUUAGCUUACCAUUUCAGUCACCAAUGACAGCAACCAAAAAAUAAUACUACUGUACUCAGGUAAUCCAUAGGAAAAUCCCAAAUCAGUGCACAAAAGGUGGAGAUGGUGCUCAUGCAUUUUCCCCCAAAGGCCUUAGGCAAUGGAAAUUUUCUCAAGCUCCAUUCAUUAACAAAAUAGAUGAGCAGUUAUGUAAGGUCAUGUGAGGAAAGUGGUUGGUCUUUGGUCAAUGAAAGAGUUAGUCACACAUCAUUGAGCUGGAUGGCCCUGGGAGGAAAUGUGGAGCCACUCUUUGUGUGUUCAAGGACUGAAGAGGGAGAACUUUAGCUGUAAUUCCUCACUACCCCCUGAGCUUCGGCACCCCCUUUACAGACUAGGCAUUGCAGGAGGCGUCUGGUGAUGUUAACCAGAAAAUAGGGAGUUGAAGUCUGUUGAGGUCCUCCCCACCUUCCUCUUCCCAAAUUACUCAACCCUCCUCUGAAGGAAUUAAGCAACCACCUGAUGAUUUUAGGGUGCAAAUGUGCUAUUUUGCAUCCCCCCAGCUCAUCUGCUCUGGAAGCACUCAGAGGCCAAUCUCUUGAAGGUUAUUUCAGACCAUUGGACUAGCAAGGCAGCAAGGCUUGGCUGGUAGCCUCCACAGGACAUGGAGCAGCAGUCAUCUGGCACAAGCUAUCAGUAGGACUCAUGGCCUGAUGAGUGCAGAGGAGGCCUGGAAAGAAAACUCAUGUGGGGCAGGUAGGGAGAAUGUGGCUGUCAGGUUGUACCCAAAUCAUAGUUCAAUGCCUGAGGGCUGGUGAUAAGGUGUAAUCCUGCAAACCAAAGUCCCUCCCACAUUUGCUGGUCUUCCCCAGUGCUGAAAUUGUGAAACCCUGGAAACCUGCUGUGGAGAGGACACCCUAACCCACCUGAAACCAUGGAAACAUGCUGCGAGGAGGACACCCUAACCCAUUGGGGUGGUGCUGCAGUGCAGGGUACAGAUUCAGUCCUCAGUAAAAGCUCAGCUGUCUCCCUGAGCAGAUGGUUUCCAGGAAGAGCCACAUUCCUGACUGUGAGGAGCUGAAAGGACUGCGUAUGGGAUAUGCCUUAAAAUAGACAGAGAUAUAGAAACAGAGUUCAGGUCCGAGGCAGAGAGAACUUGAUGGCAUCUCAGGCGUUUGUUCAGGAAGGGAAGUGCUGCUAAAACUGCAACUGCCUCAGCCUUGGCUACAAGUGUCCCUGAUAAACCUAGGGUUGUUUUCACUUAAGCAAAGGAUUCUAGUUGAGAUUUUUUUUCCUGAUAAAUUCCUUUCUGUUUUAUUGUUUUCUACCUCUCUAUAAAACAAGCUAAGGGAGUAAUAGAUUCCCCCUUUCCCAAAGAUUUGAGAUAUUGUGGAAAGAGAUGUAUCUUGAAUUUGGAGAAAAAGCUAGUCUCUAACUUUUCAAAGAAUUGAUAUCUUGCUAGUGGGAAAAAAAGCCCUUUUUGAAAUAUUUUUGAAAUAUUUUAUUUCAGUAACCUUAAAAUGAUGUAUUUAGAACCUUUUCAAUAUAUCUAGCCUUCUGUAUUUGAAUGACUGAGUAUUGUAAAUUGUGGUGAAAUUUUUUUUCUUAAAAAAAAAGUCUAAAUACUUAGAAAAGGGAUGCCCUCAGCAGUAUUUCAAGGUGACAAGUUCUUUAAAAGCAUCUCUUCCCCAGAAAUUAUUUGAUUGUGAGGAACAGGCAUUAAAAUUUGAGAAAAAUUUGGCGAAAAGUUUCCAGCAAAUUCUCCUAAAACCUGUAAAACAAUUCCUGACCAUAUGCAAACCAAACAGUGACGAGUUGCAAGAUGGAGCUUCUUGUUGGUAGCGGGAGAACUCAGAUGAAUUUUGGCUUCCAUUCUCAUUCUUUCUACAUAGUUCAGGUUUGCUCUUUGAAAUAGUUCCUAUAUGACCCCUGUCGAAAUAAUACACCACAGUGCCUGUUGUUUUGGUAAAAUACUCAGAGUGUGCAGAGUCUGCAGCGUUUGAAGAGCUGUUGGGACAGCACACCUCGGGUAAGAAGACCCCAGCACUAGUUAGGGCACAACAUCAGUGAGCAGAAGGAGAAAUCAGUUUUUCCUUACUGCCCACCUGCUGCUUAGCUCUCCAGCCAGCACAGCCUCACUGUCUUACAGUGUCUGCUGGAACGUGUGACACCAGGAGAACAUGUGAGUUAAUUAUUAAACAAAAUGGAGUCAUUAUGCCCUGUGUCACUGCUGUUCCUCACAUAAAUCUGCUGCACAGUAGACAAAUGAUCCUGUGCAAUGAGAACAAAGAAAUGUUUUCAGGAUGAACACAUUUUCCUCUGCUGGAGAGCUGCUUCCACUUCACCUCCCUGGAGCUAGAAGAGUGAUGCACUUGGCCUCCAUAAAGGUGGGGGGUUUGGGAAAGACAAAUGAAAGUGAUACAGAGCCUCAGGGUACUGAUUUCCAUGAAUAAUCUCCCCAGCUGUUAGCCUAGGUUCGGAGCCAUUUCCUUUUAGAGAACACAUUUCUACUAGCAACAUUUCAGAGUCCGGAAGGAAAUAUUUUAAAGUUACCUUUGGCAUUUCAAGGCUAGCACAAUUUCCACCAAGCUUCCCUCGAACGUCUAGAUAAAAUAUUAACUCCUGGACGAGGUGUAGAGGCCCUGCAGGCUGUCAAACAGUAACACAGUUAAGGAGACAGACUCUGGGACAGAGAUGGUGAGAUAACAUCCAAUACUUUAAAACCCAUCUGUGAUUAGUUUCACUUGACUGACACACAAGAAAAAACGAAGACUUAGAGGUAAGAUCCACAGAUGCCAACAGCCAGGGAAGAAGUCCUCUUAGCUGAAAUAGCUGGUCACCUCAGCUCUGGAAGGGGAUAGUAGAGAGCCAUUCUGGUUUCUCUGCUGUGAAGCCUCUCUGAAACUCCUUCUAUUACACAGUGGGGGAAGGGUCUCUCCUCUGUGGCUGCUAAGCCUGGCAGGCUUGGGAGACCUAGGAAGGGCAUGUGCUGUGGUAAAAAGAGUGUAAGGUCUGAGUCUCCAGCAGACCUCCGAUGUGUCCACAGGCUGCAGGAAGAGGGGUAGGAGUGGAGAUGAUGACAGUGGGAUGGGUCAGGCCAAGGGACACAGGUGUAUCUUAGAUAUUUGGCUUGUGUCCAUAAUGUGGUGUUCGGGUACUGUGUGGAGACAGAGGCCCGAGUGUCCACCUUUCACCACUUGGCAUAAUGGCCCUGUGGAGACAGAGCAGGGCAGGGUGGCUGGGAGGAAACACAUGGGCAACACUGGCCGUUUCCCUGGGAAUUUAAUUCCUGAGGAUCUGUGCUCCAAGCACUUUUGCAGGCAGCCUCUGUACUUGACUCAAGGCAUUGUGCUGUCCCUCUCUUCGCUGGCCAGUGCCAAGCUGAGUUGGUCCUUUGCUGCUCUAGUCAAAACCAGCAGAUGCUUUGGAAGGAGUCCCUCCCCUUUGCCACAUGCUGUAAUAGCAGGGAAACAGAAACACAGAGGUUCUGUGGCCUAGGCAAAGCCAAAAAGCAAAGGGACUGGCAAGGCUGACCAUGGCAGCCAGGACUCCUGCCUCUUGGGAAACAGCCACUGGCUUACAAUAUUACUUCUCUGAAUGUUGUUUAAAGGGACAACACAGAGCACACGCUUGCUCCUGCUGGGCUCAGUCAGCUGUGUUUGUGGUGGCUCUUGCUUUUCUUCAAGAGUUUACCUUGGCUCUUUCCCUACUGCUUCACUGGCACCCUGUGAAAGGACUGCAGUGACCCUUGUCCCCUGGAUGCAGAAGGAGCGCCUGGAGUAGACUGAGGAGUCAAGAAAUGUGCACGCUCCAGAACUGGCUAGCUGUGCUCGCAGGCCCGCUGAUGCCCAGCCAUGACUGGAUGUGAGGCAUGCAGUGAGGUUCUAUCCCACUCCUUGCACAUCUUGCACACUUUAGCAGUGCUGUGCUGUGUCCAGCUCCCUCAUCUGUGAUCCACGGGCUGCACAUGGUGGCCCAGCUUGCCCGGUAACCUCUUGGCUGUGAUGUUGGGCUUCAUCCCCUGUGUGGUGCUGGCUGUUGCUGCGUGCCUGAUGAGGCACCUGCUUCACUGAUGGCUCUCACCUCCAGAGCCACCCAGCCGUACACUGCCUUUGCUUCAGGGAUGCAGAUGCUGUGUGAGAGCUCUGUAGUAACCUGAAAAGAAUGUUCAGCGGGCUGCUGAGAAAAGGAAAGCUGGUGAGAAAAGGAGCUGACACCUGGCACUCCAGGGCUGUGUGGUCCAUUUUAUCACCGACUCUCCUUCACUCUGCUCUCCUGCCUCCUUCUCCAGACAGCAUCACAGGGAGAUGGCAUGAAGAGACCCUUAUCUGCAAAGACUGGGAAAAGCCUGGACGUGAAUAAAAGGCACAGCUGAAAGUCUGGCCUGCUUCAGGGUCACUGCACUCUUUCAUUCCUCCCUGAAGCAAGCAAGGGCAUAUCCCUUCACAGGAAGCAGGGGCAAAGCCCACUUCCUUGCCUGUGCUCUGAGUUGGCUGGAUGUGAAAUAGCUCCAGUUCAGGGGAGACAUAGGUGCAAAAGACCUGUGAUUGAGCUGAACCCUGCCUCUUGGUUUCUGUAGUCCACUUGCUUUCUGAUUCCCUAUGUUUACUGUUAGCAUGAGCCAUAAAGGAGCUUUCGUCUCUUUUUCCUCUCUGUCUCCCUCUGAACAACACAGAGGCCAUGUGUCACCAACCAGUUCUGGACAAGACCUAACUGCAAAAUGUGUUAAAUGAAUGUUAGUCCUCUAUUUCCAAAAUUGGCUGAUCCAGAAAGCUGCAAGUACACACAGGAAAAUCCCCUCUAGUGCCUUCCCCAUUGGGAUUUCUUGGGAGUUCAGCUGGCUGAGGAGAGCAAGCUGGUUGCUCUCAGGUCAUUCUGGACUGGUUCCCAGUGACCCUCUGAGCUGUGCCUCUCCCCUGCCUCCCUGCUUGUCAGAGUCUCAGUCUAACCCUUGCAGAGAGAUAGACACCCCUUUGUAGCCAGACAGCCUGUCUUGACUACCUAGAACCAGGACCUCGCAACUCAGUGCAUUGUGGACUCUCAGUAUCUCCACUACGUCGUGGCCAAGCACCUUCUCAGGGCAGUUCUGCAUAAAAUAUUCAGCAUCCCAGCAGGAGCAAGGUGUCAUAUCACUUGUCAUAUCACUUGGGUUAAGUUUAGGCAGAAGUCACUGUUAACAGACGGAUUAUUUUUAUUUAGAAAUGCAAGUGAAUGUAGUUCAUGGAUAGGGUAAGUUAUAAGGAAAAUACACAGAUGUCAUUCUGAAUUAGGAUAACUCUUUGCAGAGAGAAGUGCCUUCAGGUGCUCAGGACUUUGGCUAACUCAUGAGUCUGACUUGUCUGUGCCCUAAAUCAGGACUAAAGUGGCAAGAAAGGUCUGAGAACUUCAUCUUCCCUGCCUCUGGUGUUAAAGGUGAUUGAGGAGAUAGCAGGGCUCUGGAUACUGGUUCUGGGCAGCCAACACCUUCUUCCUUCUAAGGGGGACUGGACAGGCCUUUUUCACUUGCCCUCUGUAAACCUUAGCUUCUUUAACUACUGUGAUGGGAAAACACAUAAAAUUAAGUAAUUCUGUCUUCCCUCCUUCCCAAAGAACCUUUAUUUAUUGUUUUUACUUUACACCAUGACUUCAGGAUGUUAUCCUGAAUUUGGAUGUUUAAGUGUUUUCCCAUGCUUGCAGCCUCCCUGUAAUCAUACAAGCUAGAGAUUAGUAGAUACAUAUCACAGCAGGGGAUCUGGCACAGUGUACGUCUGUCUUCCUCUGCUUGGAAAGAGCAGGGACAAAUAUUAGUUUGAGAUGAAAGAGAAUGUCUUCACUUUGUUAGGAACAGGGCACCGAUAAUGGCUCUGCCUCACAUGAUUGGCUAGCCUUGUGCCAUACCCUGGGAGGCUGCCAAACUUGAGUUCAGCUGAUCCCUUGCUAUCUGCAAGGGAAGGCAGAGCCAAUGCCCACUCAACGGGACUUUGUCCUCAUGAUGGCAGGCAGCUUAUGAAACGUCAGCCUUUGCGUGUGCUGGCAUGGCAGAAAGGCUCUGGCCCUCACAAUAGCGGCAUUCUCCGUGGGCUCAGCUGGGAGAGGCUUGCACGAAGUUAAACCUGAGUGCAGGCAGGCUUAGAGCACUUUUCAGCAAGAACUCAUCAGUCAUUGGCAAUGCCCGAGGCAAUGACUGCACGUUGAAUGGGCUUUCCACAGCACAAAUAUAUGCAUGAUGGUGUGUGCAUGCAUAUAUAUAAUUGCAUGCAAAUUCUGUUAUGUGUAGGUUAAAAGCCAUAGACUCUAGUAGCUGUUAACAAUCAUUCACUACUUUUUAUACAUUCUAUGGAUGGGGCACAGGGGAGGGCUGGUCUUGUCUUAUGGAGGACCAUACUAUCCAGACACUGUGGGUUGAGCUGUCGCUAUCAGAGCGCUCAGUGUGUUGCUGCCAGAGAUCUGUUUGCAUGGAGCACACCUUUGUCAAUGCCAUUAAGUCUUUCCUGUUCAGAGAGGUUUUCAAACUGUGAGAAAAUCCCGCUCUCACUUCUGCAGUCCUUUCAACGGAUGAGUUAACUGUUCCACUGAUGCCUGAUGUUUAGAUCUGCUGCUGGCAGGAUCAGGUACAUCUUCUAAGCACACAUUGGCCCUAUGGCUACUUGUAAAUGAGGGUUAAUAAGGAGCUGGGGCUCUAAGGAGUGUAGUCCUGUUCCUUACAAGGUCUGAGCUGGGAGACUCACCUCUGAGCUUCAUUUUCACUAGCUGCUUGCAGAGGAAGUUCUGCCUUCAGCUUGAUUUGAGAGAGCAGGACAGGAUGCUUGAGGGAGCUCUCUCUGGCUAGUAGGAAAGUAAUUCAUUGGUGUGACUGUGGUUUCCCAAGCAAUCUGCUCUUUUGUUGGAAAUCAAACUAGCUGACACAGGCAAGGGGAAAUGUUUGUUCAGUUUGAGAUCAGAGGCUCUUGUUUUGAAAGCUCAGUUUUAUCCUCAGUCCUAACUUCUCUCCAUACAGCAUUAAUCACUUGUCUGGGAACAGAGGAUUUGAACCGUCUCCAGAGCUAUACAAGCAGAUUUGGUGGCUGUCAGUAGUACUCUGUAAAUAAGUCCCAGCAGGCAACUGUGUAAGUAAACAGCUUCUUUGUGAGCACCACUGCCUUUCUCCACAGUUUACGUAGUGCAACGGAAGGGUUCUGUUAGCUUUUGCAGGGGCGGUCUGAGCACCACACACAACUGGCAGGGAUGACCUGCAACUUCCAAUUGACAGUUUUACCACCUGCUUUGCUGCAGCUCAGCAAGAGCGGGAUUUGUGUCAGGGAGCCAGGAAACCAGCUGUGUUGCAGAAACAGCUGUACCAUGACAUCAUCUUUGUCCCUUGGUGCGUAUGUGUUUCAACAUAGGCUUUAAUUACACAAGCAUGAACUCACCUUACCCACAGGGCCAGGUUUCUUAAAAAUCAGUUUGUGCCCGCCAGAGGAAAGGCAUGGUUUUAGGAUGAGUGAGUGAAGGACAAAUUCUCUUUUAAUGCUUCAUGGUAGGCUUCUGAAGAAAAGCAUUCUGAUGCAACUGAGAAUAGCACGCGCCCUGAGAUCUUGACAAUUUCUUUGAGUAUUUCCCUUAGAAAAUGAUAUUUUUAUGACCAUUUACAUAGAAUAUUUCAGAAGGGUUUUUGUCCUCACAUGUGUGUGGUUGAAAAUGUAGAGAAAAGGAGUGCAUUUUCCUUUGAAAGUGUUAAUUUCUAUUAAAAGACUAUUUUUCUGCUAAGUAA